This 253-nucleotide ribosomal RNA is filed under the name uncultured bacterium. RNAcentral's name for it is "partial 16S ribosomal RNA". It matches the Rfam family "Bacterial small subunit ribosomal RNA", at positions 524 to 776 of the family's 1533-position model. The record is from RNAcentral.
UUCGGAGGGUGCGAGCGUUGUUCGGAAUCACUGGGCGUAAAGCGCGUGUAGGCGGCCCACUAAGUCUGAUGUGAAAGCCCGGGGCUCACCCCCGGAAGUGCAUUGGAAACUGGUGGACUCGAGUCCCGGAGAGGAGAGUGGAAUUCCUGGUGUAGCGGUGAAAUGCGCAGAUAUCAGGAAGAACACCCGUGGCGAAGGCGGCUCUCUGGUACGGAACUGACGCUGAGACGCGAAAGCGUGGGGAGCGAACAGG